This 242-nucleotide unclassified non-coding RNA is filed under the name Hevea brasiliensis (rubber tree). Lineage: Eukaryota; Viridiplantae; Streptophyta; Magnoliopsida; Malpighiales; Euphorbiaceae. The record is from RNAcentral.
UUAUUAUUUUAUAAUAAAUUAGCGCCUAGUACCUCGGGCAAUAGAGGACUUUCUCACCUUAAGGGCACCUAGUUCUUUUGACAACACUGUUCCAAACAUGAAAAUUAAUUUAACAGAAGUAAAUUGAAUUGAAUUCUUGCACUUUUUUUUUUGACUUCCAAAACAAUGUUAGAAUUAGACUAAACCAGCCGGUUUGACUGGUUUAAUUGAGAAUUGGACCAUUGGCUGGUUCGGUUCUAAAA